GGUAUUCACCAUGAAACUGAAUAUUAAAUAAUAUUUCUGUUAAUAAUUUUCCAUGUAAUAACAGAAGUCCUACAUUUGACGAGACUGUGGAUGAUCUGCUGUUGUCCCUGCACUCAGUGUCUGCUGUGAACAAGGUGCAAUUGACGACCGACAGCCUGACUGAGAACUUGGCUGCAAAGAUCCUCUCUAUGUGUCACACAUGUCCCAGUCUCCAUAACAUCUGUUUGCAGGUGGAGUACAGUAAGAGAUACAGUGAGCUCAAUGUGUGUUCCUCUCUCAGCAUCACCAGAAACACAGACUCCACCUUGACAGUCGACAUUCAGUUGGCCCGUGACAGCAUGACUGAAAUAUCUCCAUCAUUCAUUUCAUUCAUAUCACCAUGUUCAGAGAUUCCUAAACUGGAUGGAAGGGAACUCUUUGAAACUCUUGACAUCCUUAAAGGUUUAGAAGAAGGAUGUGAAGAGCAUGAAGAGCUUGUGGGUGAUUUGAUGUCCACCUUGCUCUCCGUUCCUGGUCUGCAGAAGGUCAGACUCAAGAUCAGCAAUCUAACAGAGAACUGGGUGAAGAGGAGUCUGUCCUUAACUGAAGUCUGUCCCAGUCUUCAGGAGAUCAGAUAUGACUUCAUAAAAAGUGGUGGCUUGUUGUUGGAGGAUGUUGUGAGGAUUCUACAGAGCUCUCAGACCACAGGAAUUAAGUGCAGUAACGCAACAGAUGGGUGCACUGAAAUGGACACAUCCAGAUCAUCAUCUGCCUGCAAUGAGAAUCUGAAAAUCACUUUCUGCAAGAACUCUCUUUCAAGACUAUUCACAACACAUGAAAUUGACGAAGAUGACAACAACAACACUGAGGAUGAUGAAGACUUUUUCCUGCUUUAGGAAGGACUGUUGAAUACUGUUUUAUCAAAAACAUUGACAAACUUACUACAAU
RNAcentral lists this long non-coding RNA (927 nucleotides) under Sinocyclocheilus rhinocerous. RNAcentral describes it as "lncRNA (ENSSRHG00000030240.1)". The record is from RNAcentral. Lineage: Eukaryota; Metazoa; Chordata; Actinopteri; Cypriniformes; Cyprinidae.